GAUGAACGCUAGCGGCAGGCUUAAUACAUGCAAGUCGUGGGGCAGCAGGUUCCGAGCAAUCGGAAUGCUGGCGACCGGCAAACGGGUGCGUAACACGUACGCAAUCUACCCAUUACAGGGGAAUAGCCCAGGGAAACUUGGAUUAAUACCCCAUAUUAUAUAGGAUUGGCAUCAGUCUUAUAUCAAAGCUUCGGCGGUAAUGGAUGAGCGUGCGGUUGAUUAGAUAGUUGGCGGGGUAACGGCCCACCAAGUCUACGAUCAAUAGCUGAUGUGAGAGCAUGAUCAGCCACACGGGCACUGAGACACGGGCCCGACUCCUACGGGUGGCUG
RNAcentral lists this ribosomal RNA (330 nucleotides) under uncultured Bacteroidota bacterium. RNAcentral describes it as "bacterial SSU rRNA". It matches the Rfam family "Bacterial small subunit ribosomal RNA", at positions 28 to 351 of the family's 1533-position model. The record is from RNAcentral. Lineage: Bacteria; Pseudomonadati; Bacteroidota.